This 616-nucleotide long non-coding RNA is filed under the name Populus tremula. RNAcentral describes it as "long non-coding RNA (PTRE_LNC001469)". The record is from RNAcentral. Lineage: Eukaryota; Viridiplantae; Streptophyta; Magnoliopsida; Malpighiales; Salicaceae.
AAAACCUAUACACGACAUGCAGGAGAUUUCACCAAAUCCGACUCAUGCACACCAUUCCGACCAGGUGGAAGAGAGUCUCCAUUUUAUUAUCAACAGUCGAGUCAGUGGGUUCAGUUGAGAAAUCAAAAUCAUCUUAUAUAUAUCAUUACCUCUAGAAUUUGAUUUAUGUAGGGUUUUGUUACUGUUUCAGUUAUAGAAACAAGGAUAAUAAAAAUAGAAAUAUGUUUAAUUGAAUAGAAAUAUCUCUCAUAGUCUCGGGGGACCAAAUGUCCAUACACUCUCUCCAGCAUACAUCUUGUUAGCUAAUCCAGGCACUAAGCUGGUCUUCAAACCCUAGGGCACUGGGGAAGUAUCCUUUUUCCAUGUCAUAUGAUUGGAUAUUCAAAACCAAAUUAAUUUCUAUUUUUUUUUUUCAAACUAGACAUUUAACAAGUUAAAACUUUUUCGAAAACUUUACUUCAUUUAUCUAUGGGCUGUAAAGAUGCCAGGAAUAUAUAUUUCGAAUCAUUUUCGAUGUAGGGUCACUGUACAUUUUCUGUGCUGUUUACCUAGCGUACGUCCUGGAAAUUAAAGUGUGCCUGGCUUGCACGUGUUUUCUGCCCAAUUUUUAUAUUUA